AUGACAGCUGGAGCACGAGGCAGGUCCCAAGUCCACAGCCUUGUGGGGAGUCUGGGGGCACUGCCCAGCUCAGCCAGGGAGAGGGGGAAGAAGGGGAGCCCAGGGCUUCCUGGAGACUGCCAGGCGGCCACCCCUCCACACCCUCUGGCCUGGCAAGUCCACCCAGGACCAGCUCCAGCCUUGCAAACCUCCUGGCACCCACCCACAAGCCCCAACACAAGCUCCAACACCACAACCUUCCCAGCAACUGCAUUUUGUGGAGCUGGAAACAGGAUCAGCCUGGGGAGCCAGCAUGCAGACAGGAGCCUGGAACCUUCCCUAGGAUGGCCUCCUGGUUCCUGUUGGGAAAGGAAGGCUGGAGAGAAGAGCCCCGGAGAGGAAGGAGCAGCAAGGGUCUGCAUCUGCGGAAAACUGCCCAGCCACCACUCUACCCAGAGCCCGAGGUGUGUGUUUCACAUUCUCACUGUCAGAGGUUUUGAUUGGUGCAAAUCCCAGCCAACCCUCCAGCCUGUGGCCAGCACCACUCACCAGGGACUCCAUCCCAACCCAGAAGCUCCUUUGCAAAGAUGCUGAAAGAAAAGAAGAGAAUGAGAGAAUGACCCUGCUCCUGGCAGAAGAAGCCACAUGGGAGCAAGACACUGAGACGCCCACCUCCGUGCCCCUAGUUGAAAUGAUAAUGGUCACUCACACAUCUCAGCUCCCCAGGCUCUUGCCUAGAUACCUGCCUCCAAACAGAAGGCGCCCAGCUCUACAGAGUCACAAAGACGCCCCCAUAAAAAGGGUCCUGUUAAGAACCAGGUGACCAGCAAAGGCAGGGUCAGGGCAUUGGCACAUGGAUUCCACUUAGAUGAAAUCAAAGUGGCUGUACCACAGCUACAGCCUGUCCCUUCCCUCUGGGUGGCCUGAGUCCCCCAGCACAGACUCCAUGGGCCCGCCGCCAAGUGUCCACAGCACUGCACCAGAACAUCAAGAAGCUGCUCUGUUAGAAGAGAGGACUGAGUGGCAGUUAUCACUAUGAGUCUCUUGUCAUUUUAAUCUGGACCCAUUUGUUUAGGCUUGGGGAGUCUGGGGGGGGGGCGGUGGUGGAGCACCAGACCUCAAUGUUUGCCUCUUCAGACCUCAGACCUCUCAGAAGGCUCGUGGGCCUUGAAGAGGGCACGUUCCCCCAAUGACUGACCCCACAUAGGACCUGGCAUACCACAGACUGUCACACCACGCCAUCCUGGCUUCCGAGAACUGGGCCGGGGGUGCUCCUCUUUCAACUUGCCACCAAUACACCCAGUGCCAAUCACACCUCAUGGGUCCCCAGCUGUGCACAACACUUUGGGGCUGGGAAGCCAAGUACAGUACGAGGGGCCACCCCAUCCAUCGGGAGCACACAUUUCCUAAUACAUAAAGCAACAAGUGCAUUAGGUGCCAUGAUAGGAGAGCUGGAGCCCAGAUUUCACACUUUCAGAGCCAUCUCAGAUGGAUGGCACUGCCACCAUGCUGGGGAGUGAACACUAGUUUCCCACUUUAAAUAGGCAUCAGGCCAGGAUAGAGAUUAAGCAGGAAGCUAUUGCUGGUGGUGAGAUGCUACCUUAGGCCAAAAGAAUACAAGCUCCAGAGCAAGUCCUCGCACCUCCCUAAGGCAAUUUCCACCCUGCUUAUAUGGAUCACAUUGGCAGGGAAUCUUUGUGCAGUGUCCAACCGGGGCAAUCAGACCUAACAACCUUGCCCACUGUCACAGGACUCCAAUGCAAGCAAGCUAAGAAGUUUUACAUGCACAGGCAGAGAAGUAAAUUAAACUCCAGGAGCAUGAAUUGGGCAAUCCCUAUGUCUUGAGGGCAGAGCUCCAAAGCUGAGUGAAUAGGAUCUAGUCCUGCCAACCAGACCAGAGAAGGCAGGAGGAUGUAUCACCACACAAACAUUGUGUUCUCAAGCCAGGCCCUCGGGUGUCAGGAUGAUGGAGCUGUGGCCCCAUCUCAGGUGUCACGUGCUAAAGGAAGAAAAGAAACAUACCUGGAGGAGCCACAGAAAGUGUGAUGAAAGCUCAGGUAGACAUGUGCAGAGAACGUUUUAGGAGCCCAAAGGAGCUAGGAAUGCAGAAUCUUGGACCCCAAAUGUGCCUUUUACUCAGACGCCCAGGCACUGACAUACACACGUGAGCAGUACAGCACAGACACACGGGAGAGUCGCCCACACACGCGUGUGUGUCCGAGACAGCUUCCACUGGACUGGGCAGCCCUUGGAGACAUCUCAGAUGCCCUUCCCCAUCCCAUCAGAUGCAGAGACUCACGGCUCCCUCCUCUCCAUGGCUCCAGGCCCUGCUCAGAUGGCUUCAGAGUCUUCCCACCUUUUCCAGCCACCAGACCCCGUACCUACCUCAGGCAAGGAUCCAAGCUCAUGCCUCCUUGAGUCCCCAAAGUUAGCCCUCCGCCAGGCACCUGUGAUGCAUGAUAUCUGACCACAAUGAAGAUUUGCUGGGUGAGUCAAUAAACUGUACUUGAGCUGCUUUACCA
RNAcentral lists this long non-coding RNA (2501 nucleotides) under Vulpes vulpes (red fox). RNAcentral describes it as "lncRNA (ENSVVUG00000027037.1)". The record is from RNAcentral. Lineage: Eukaryota; Metazoa; Chordata; Mammalia; Carnivora; Canidae.